Molecule: long non-coding RNA, 663 nt
Filed under: Equus caballus (horse)
Lineage: Eukaryota; Metazoa; Chordata; Mammalia; Perissodactyla; Equidae
Description: lncRNA (ENSECAG00000045472.1)
Source: RNAcentral
AUUCCCCUCACGUGUGGCCUUAAAGAGUUCUAUAUUCUUUUGCUAAGUCAGACUUGGCUUUUACCAGUUUGUUAGCGAUUUCAGCUAAAAUUUUCUUACUCGUAUCUGACAGUGUCUGCCUCAGAGCUCUGUCCAGUUGCUCCAAGCUUUACUGGUUGCACUCUAGGUCUGCUGCACAUCUACACGGAUAUCACCUGGAGAGGUGGAUUCAAAUUUCUGUUUGGCUUUACAUGCUUUUAGAUCACUUAUUCUGGAGAACCCCAGAUGCUCAGUCAUGAAGACACUUAUCCAGAGUCCUGUGUGGUGAGGAACUGAGGCGUUCAUCCAGUGAGGAAUUGAGGAUUCCUACUAACAGCCAUGUGAGUGAACUUGAAAGUGAGUGAAUCCUCCAACUUCUCAAUCAGUCCUUCAGAUGACUGCAGUCCUGGCUGACAUCUUGCCUGUAACCUCAUGAAAGACCUUGAGCUACACUCGCCCAGCUAAGCUUCUCCAAAAUUCCUGAGUCAAAGAAACUGUAAGAUAAUAAAUGUUUGUUAUUUUAAGCCACCAAGUUUGCAGUUAACUUGUUAUGCAAAAAUGCAUAACUUAUACAAAUAAGGAAGUUAAUCCUAGACAUCUCAGGUAUAUGAAUUUAUUAAAAACAGGAAGAAAGAACUUGAAUUA